GAUGAACGCUGGCGGCGUGCUUAACACAUGCAAGUCGAACGAAGCACUUUAUUUGAUUUCCUUCGGGACUGAUUAUUUUGUGACUGAGUGGCGGACGGGUGAGUAACGCGUGGGUAACCUGCCUUGUACAGGGGGAUAACAGUUGGAAACGGCUGCUAAUACCGCAUAAGCGCACAGCAUCGCAUGAUGCAGUGUGAAAAACUCCGGUGGUAUAAGAUGGACCCGCGUUGGAUUAGCUAGUUGGUGAGGUAACGGCCCACCAAGGCGACGAUCCAUAGCCGAACUGAGAGGGUGACCGGCAACAGUGGGACUGAGACACGGCCCAAACUCCUACGGGAGGAAGCAGUGGGGAAUAUUGCACAAUGGGCGAAAGCCUGAUGCAGCGACGCCGCGUGAGCGAAGAAGUAUUUCGGUAUGUAAAGCUCUAUCAGCAGGGAAGAUAAUGACGGUACCUGACUAAGAAGCACCGGCUAAAUACGUG
Molecule: ribosomal RNA, 481 nt
Filed under: uncultured bacterium
Lineage: Bacteria
Description: partial 16S ribosomal RNA
Rfam family: Bacterial small subunit ribosomal RNA
Source: RNAcentral